GUGUUCGCUUCGACAGCACAUAUACUAAAAUUGGAACGAGAGAUUAGCAUGGCCCCUGUGCAAGGAUGACAUGCAAAUUCGUGAAGCGUUCCAUAUUUUU
This is a small nuclear RNA of Dipodomys ordii (Ord's kangaroo rat), 100 nucleotides long. NCBI's taxonomy places the organism in Eukaryota, Metazoa, Chordata, Mammalia, Rodentia, Heteromyidae. The record is from Ensembl.